CACGCAGGCGGUUUUUUAAGUCAGAUGUGAAAGGUACCGGCUCAACCGGUGACAUGCAUUUGAAACUGAAAGACUUGAGUAUUGGAGAGGCAAGUGGAAUUCCCGGUGUAACGGUGGAAUGUGUAGAUAUCGGGAAGAACACCGAUGGCGAAGGCAGGUCUCUGGGCCGUCACUGACGCUGAGGAGCGAAAGCGUGGGGAGCGAACA
Molecule: ribosomal RNA, 207 nt
Filed under: uncultured bacterium
Lineage: Bacteria
Description: partial 16S ribosomal RNA
Rfam family: Bacterial small subunit ribosomal RNA
Source: RNAcentral